UACAGAGGUGGCAAGCGUUGUUCGGAAUUACUGGGCGUAAAGGGCGCGUAGGCGGUCUUGUAAGUCUUGUGUGAAAUCCCUCGGCUUAACUGGGGAACGGCACGGGAUACUGCGAGACUUGAGGGCGGGAGAGGGAAGCGGAAUUCCGGGUGUAGCGGUGAAAUGCGUAGAUAUCCGGAGGAACACCGGUGGCGAAGGCGGCUUCCUGGCCUGUCCUUGACGCUGAGGCGCGAAAGCUAGGGGAGCAAACGGG
This 253-nucleotide ribosomal RNA is filed under the name uncultured bacterium. Its description in RNAcentral is "partial 16S ribosomal RNA". It matches the Rfam family "Bacterial small subunit ribosomal RNA", at positions 524 to 776 of the family's 1533-position model. The record is from RNAcentral.